AUUGAACGCUGGCGGCAUGCUUUACACAUGCAAGUCGGACGGCAGCGCGGGCUUCGGCCUGGCGGCGAGUGGCGAACGGGUGAGUAAUACAUCGGAACGUGCCCAGUAGUGGGGGAUAGCUCGGCGAAAGCCGGAUUAAUACCGCAUACGACCUGAGGGUGAAAGCGGGGGACUUUAGGGCCUCGCGCUAUUGGAGCGGCCGAUGGCAGAUUAGCUAGUUGGUGGGGUAAAGGCCUACCAAGGCGACGAUCUGUAGCUGGUCUGAGGGGACGACCAGCCACACUGGGACUGAGACACGGCCCAGACUCCUACGGGAGGCAGCAGUGGGGAAUUUUGGACAAUGGGCGCAAGCCUGAUCCAGCAAUGCCGCGUGUGUGAUGAAGGCCUUCGGGUUGUAAAGCACUUUUGGCAGGAACGAAAAGUGCCGUGCUAAUACCACGGUACGAUGACGGUACCUGCAGAAUAAGCACCGGCUAACUACGUG
RNAcentral lists this ribosomal RNA (484 nucleotides) under uncultured bacterium. RNAcentral describes it as "partial 16S ribosomal RNA". It matches the Rfam family "Bacterial small subunit ribosomal RNA", at positions 29 to 507 of the family's 1533-position model. The record is from RNAcentral.